This is a long non-coding RNA of Astatotilapia calliptera (eastern happy), 1628 nucleotides long. Lineage: Eukaryota; Metazoa; Chordata; Actinopteri; Cichliformes; Cichlidae. The record is from Ensembl.
GCGCACUACUAAGGGUGUGUGAUAUUAAUCUGGUUUUCGUCCAGCUCUCACAUAGGCGUAGAAGGACAGUAAGUGCCUAGCAACAAUAUCCCCAUUGGAGUACUUUGGGAGUGUCCUGAUGUAAUUUAGUAAUGAAUGUGGUUGUGGUGGGUUCACACAGACAGAUGUAGCUUGGCUCAGUGGGCUGAGUCACAAACUGCAGACUCACACUGUCCUGUUUGAUUCUUGUUCAUGUUUGGUCUAUUUAUAGCUGUUUUAGGUAUUAAGUACAACAUCUCUUGUUACCAAGGCAAAGGCAACAAAUAACAGAUUAACUCUGAAUAUAAAUCACCUGUGGGAAUUUGACAAAGAGAGUUUGAUGUGAGCAUAUGAUGUUUAUAUAUGAUGCUAAUAUUCCAUAUGUCUGAAAAGCACAAAUAUGACUACUAAUUGUGUGAAUUCCUCUACUUUCAUUGAUUAUGUCUGUGCUUUAUGAGCGAUGCAAUUAUUAUUAUUUUUUACAGUACCUUGUUUUUUUCCAUUGUUAGAGAGGAUUUUUGAGGAACUCGUCAUUAUCAAAGCUGAGGAUGGAAGGUGCUAUUUUUGCAAUUUGUUGAAAACUCAGAUUUGCAUUUGGGGAUUUGCGCUAUAUAAAAAUAUGCAACUUUAUUUGAUUAAACUUGUCUCCGGGGCUAGAUUGGAUUUUAGGAUUGUUUAUUUUCAGAGGUGUGGGAUGUGAGUGGGGUGUUAUAUUACCUAUAAGUGUGUGUGUGGUUUUUUUUUUUUUUUUUUUUUUUUUUUAAACUUUCUUUUCAUUUGACUUUUUUAACAAUGCAUUCAGUGGGAAUGUCCAUUAAACCUUCAUCAGGUGUCAUGCGCUGUUCUUGUGCUGUUACUCUAGGGUUAUUUUUGCCUCUUUCAGCCCAGGAGGGAGAUUUUAGAGCUCUGAGAAACUAACCUUACUAAUUUCAUCAAGAUUUAACUGAAUUAGGAUUUGGAGGCCUCUGCUGCAAAGUAAGAUUGUGGAAUUUGAGUAGCUCAAGGCAUUCAGUAACCAGAAAGGUCUAAAUAAAGGUGCUCCUGCAGUUUGGGGAAGCCUUUGUAUCCUGUGUUUUAAAGAGAAAAAGUAGAAGUGAGGGUCUUUCAGUCUUUUGACUCUGUUUUGACCACUGGUUCUUUAACCCAUCCAUCCAUGCAUUCAUCCAUCCAUCCAUGGACAGGCUGUGGGGUUUGAGUCAGAGUUAUUCCUACACCACCCUAGGGAUUUAUUCUCCAGGUUGCCUCCUGACUGAGGUGAGUCCAACUGGGUGGAGACCCUGGGGGCAGAACCAGGACACGCCUGUUCUUUAAUCUGUUUUUUAUAACUUUGUGAAAAUACAACACGUUAAAGCAUAUUUUUUUAAAAAGUAACAGUAACACUGAUGGACAUAAAAAAAUGUGUAUUGCACAUUGCAGUUUUUCACUUUUGUUGUUUCUUCUCAUGCAGAAUUCUGUAAACCUACAUCUCUUUUUAAUUAGUGUUUUGUAUUGUUAAAUAGUGAAAUUACCUCCAAUAGUAGACACUGUUCUCUUAACAACAUGCACUCAGUAAAUGCAUUUGUUUGGUGACUCUGUGAAUGCUAAAUCCUCACAAACAUGCAAGAUGGUAU